Molecule: long non-coding RNA, 1018 nt
Filed under: Vulpes vulpes (red fox)
Lineage: Eukaryota; Metazoa; Chordata; Mammalia; Carnivora; Canidae
Description: lncRNA (ENSVVUG00000027655.1)
Source: RNAcentral
AUGGCAGAAUGGGAUGGGGGGAAAUGGUCUAUUAUCAAGAUACCAAGAUUCUCAUCCUGGUUCCAGAACUUAGAAGCCUCCAACACAUACCGUGCCGGGGACACCUCAAUUCCUCUCAAAAUGGGAAUCGUUACGAUAGGGGCCAGGGGCACAAGGUGGGGAAGAGACAAACUCCCCAGGGGAAAAGAAGCUGAGCUUGGAACUCUGUGGAAGCACGGAUUGUUCAGCCUCCCACCCGGUCUCUUCAGUACGUGUCCGCAGAGAGCAUGCUACCAAACCGUGGGCGCCUUGGAAGGUCUAAUGCUCCGGCACGGAGGUCUGUUCUCCUGGCCGCAGCUCAAGUCAAUGCCAGGCGGAAUGAACAACGGAAGGGGGGAAAAUGGUCGCGUGUCAUCAACGGAAUCAACCGUAUUUACUACAAAGCAACUCUAGACACAGCACGGAAAGCUCAAGAUUCUUCCAAAGUUAGACAANACCCAGGGAUCCCCGGACUUGAAUUCUUAAAGUAAGCUCCUGAUAAAAUUUUAACUUUUGGUUUGUGACACUGGCUUAAUUAAUAGGCAAAAUGGUGUCUCAUUGUUAUUUGUUUUGUGAAUUGCCUAUUUGUGUGUUCUGCUCAUUAUUCCUCCGAAGUCCUGGUUUCUUUCCUAUUACAAUGUAAUAGUCUUCAUAUAUUCAGACUUGCGACCUUUUCUUUGCAACAUCUGUCAUAAAUAUUUUCUUCUGGUCUUUUGGUUUGUGACACUGGCUUAAUUAAUAGGCAAAAUGGUGUCUCAUUGUUAUUUGUUUUGUGAAUUGCCUAUUUGUGUGUUCUGCUCAUUAUUCCUCCGAAGUCCUGGUUUCUUUCCUAUUACAAUGUAAUAGUCUUCAUAUAUUCAGACUUGCGACCUUUUCUUUGCAACAUCUGUCAUAAAUAUUUUCUUCUGGUUUGACAUGUAUCUUUUAGUUCUGUUUAUGAUUUUUCUGUCUUUGAAAUGUUUUGAGUUUCAAGGUACAAAUAAAUAAAUAAAGGUCUUUU